Molecule: ribosomal RNA, 401 nt
Filed under: Chloritis sp. 'conamcephala'
Lineage: Eukaryota; Metazoa; Mollusca; Gastropoda; Stylommatophora; Camaenidae
Description: partial 16S ribosomal RNA
Rfam family: Bacterial large subunit ribosomal RNA
Source: RNAcentral
CAAAAACAUAGCUACGUGUAAUUACACGUAGUACUUUCUGCUCAAUGAGAUAUUAAAUAGCCGCAGUACCCUGACUGUGCAAAGGUAGCGUAAUCACUUGUCUUUUAAAUGAAGUCUUGCAUGAAGGAAUAUAUGGGGGCUUUCUUUACCAUCAAUAUACAACGAAUUUGCUUAAUGAGUGCAAAUUCUCAUAUAUAAAUAAUAGACGAGAAGACCCUAGAAAUUUGUCAAAUAUUUUGUUGGGGCAACAGGAUAACAUAGAAUUUAUUUGUGUAUAUGAAAUAAUGUUAGUUAAAGUAAAUUACUCUAGGGAUAACAGCAUAAUAUGAAAAUGUUUGUGACCUCGAUGUUGGAUUAGGAAGUUGUAGUUUAGAAGAUAGCAACUUUGCUCUGUUCGCGCA